UGUUGGUUCUCCCGCAACGCUACUCCGUUUACCAGGUCAGGUCCGGAAGGAAGCAGCCAAGGCAGAUGACGCGUGUGCCGGGAUGUAGCUGGCAGGG
This 97-nucleotide signal recognition particle RNA is filed under the name Escherichia coli. Its description in RNAcentral is "signal recognition particle sRNA small type". It matches the Rfam family "Bacterial small signal recognition particle RNA". Rfam says of the family: The signal recognition particle (SRP) is a universally conserved ribonucleoprotein involved in the co-translational targeting of proteins to membranes. Archaeal SRP consists of a 7S RNA and homologues of the eukaryotic SRP19 and SRP54 proteins. In most bacteria, the SRP consists of a 4.5S RNA and the Ffh protein (a homologue of the eukaryotic SRP54 protein). RNAcentral also lists the same sequence under 3 other names. Lineage: Bacteria; Pseudomonadati; Pseudomonadota; Gammaproteobacteria; Enterobacterales; Enterobacteriaceae. The record is from RNAcentral.